This 1467-nucleotide long non-coding RNA is filed under the name Homo sapiens (human). RNAcentral describes it as "HSALNT0262572". Lineage: Eukaryota; Metazoa; Chordata; Mammalia; Primates; Hominidae. The record is from RNAcentral.
CGGGCUCCUCGCGCCUGCGCGGCCGGGUCCCCGGGCCCGCCGUGAGGAGAGUGAAGUGGUGGAGAGGGACGCUCGUGCCACCCCGGGUCCUCCUACCGUCUCUAUCAUGGUAACCCCUUCUCUGCCGCUGCACCUCCCAGUGGCCCGAGUCCAGGUGCCUUAGUUACUGGACAGAGACCCCGGGUUCCUUAGUUACUGGACAGAGAGUGCUGCGCUUCAGGUGCCAUGGCCUCAGUUUCCUCCUUUCUGAAGUGAUGAAAAUACAUUGUGCGCCUCCAAGUGCUUCACACGCACUAGGUCCUAGUCCUAACUAGGGCCUCAUGGUAGGUCCUAUCCCUAUGUUGCAGGUGAGGAGUCAAAUCACCUACCAAAAGUCACACACCCGGAAUGCCAGAGCCUCGGCCCGAACCCAUGGAGUUUGGCUCUAAAUUCGUGUAUUUAACCCUUGACUGUACACACUGCCUCGUGUCAUAGCCCUGAGAAUCCACUACUUCCCCCGCGUUAGUACAAAAUCACUCUUGGGAUGCUGCUUCCCAUCGAUGGAUUCUGUUUUCCACUCCUCUUGGCAUCUAAGUGUGGCCUUGUGAUUGGUUCUCACCAAUGGGAUGGGAUGGAAGCGAUACAGGCCUCUUCCGAGCCAAUGCUCUUAAGAAACAUGUAUGUUGGCCAGGCACGGUGGCUCACGCCUAUAAUCACAGCACUUUGGGAGGCCGAGACGGGAGGAUCAGCUGAGUCCAGGAGUUCGAGACCAGCCUGGCCAACAUGGCGAAACUCCAUCUCUACUAAAAGUACAAAAAUUAGCCAGGCGUGGUGGGCGCUUAUAAUCCCAGCUACUCCGGAGGCUGAGGCAGGAGAAUUGCUUGAACCUAGGAGGCAAAGGUUGCAGUGAGCCGAGAUCCCACCACUGCACUUCAGUAUGGGCAAAAGAGUGAGACUCCAUCUCAAAAAAAAAAAAGAAACAUCUGCCUGCUUCCUGCUCUUUCAAGGCCCUAAAGAAAGAGGGGAGCCCCAAGAAACCUGGGUCCCUGAAUGACCACCUUGUGGAAAUACAUCCUGUCACCUAACAUCUAUCCUAGAUUGCUACAUGAUCAAGAAAUACACAUCUAACUUGUACACCCAAUGCUCAUAGCAGCAUUAUUCACAAUAGCCAAGAGGUGGAAGCAACCCAGUGUCCAUUGACAGAUGAGCGAAUAAACAAAAUGUGGCACAUAAAUGCAAUGGAAUAGACCAGACGCGGUGGCUCACAUCUGUAAUCCCAGCACUUUGGGAGGCCAAGGCGGGCGAAUCACCUGAGGUCAAGAGUUUGAAACCAGCCUGGCCAACAUAGUGAAACCCUGUCUCUACUAAAAAUACAAAAAAUUAGCCAGGCGUGGUGGCGGGCGCCUGUAGUCCCAGCUACUUGGGAGGCUGAGGCAGGAGAAUCACUUGAACCCAGAGGCGCAGGCUGCAUUGAGCCAAGAUCAUGCC